Molecule: ribosomal RNA, 480 nt
Filed under: uncultured Pseudomonadota bacterium
Lineage: Bacteria; Pseudomonadati; Pseudomonadota
Description: bacterial SSU rRNA
Rfam family: Bacterial small subunit ribosomal RNA
Source: RNAcentral
AGAGUUUGAUCAUGGCUCAGAACGAACGCUGGCGGCAGGCCUAACACAUGCAAGUCGAACGAGAAGCCACCUUCGGGUGGUGGACAGUGGCAGACGGGUGAGUAACGCGUGGGAACGUGCCUUUCGGUUCGGGAUAACCCAGGGAAACUUGGGCUAAUACCGGAUACGCCCUUCGGGGGAAAGAUUCAUUGCCGAAAGAUCGGCCCGCGUCGGAUUAGCUAGUUGGUGGGGUAAUGGCCUACCAAGGCGACGAUCCGUAGCUGGUCUGAGAGGAUGACCAGCCACACUGGGACUGAGACACGGCCCAGACUCCUACGGGAGGCAGCAGUGGGGAAUAUUGGACAAUGGGCGCAAGCCUGAUCCAGCCAUGCCGCGUGGGUGAAGAAGGCCUUAGGGUUGUAAACCCCUUUCAGCGGGGAAGAUAAUGACGGUACCCGCAGAAGAAGUCCCCGGCUAACUCCCGUGCCAGCAGCCGCGGUA